GGGAGCAAUCAUAUCAGCACCAGUGCACCGGAUCCCAUUAGAACUCCGCAGUUAAGCGUGCUUGGGCGAGAGUUGUAUUAGGAUGAGUGACCCUUGGAAAGUCCUCGUGUUGCACCCU
Molecule: ribosomal RNA, 118 nt
Organism: Dendrobium catenatum
Lineage: Eukaryota; Viridiplantae; Streptophyta; Magnoliopsida; Asparagales; Orchidaceae
Source: RefSeq, a predicted model, not a curated record